CAUUCAGUCUCGCGCUGCAUCUUUGAUUGUGCAUGCAAUGCCUCUCUUGUGUUGCUCUUUGCUUGACAGCCUCUGCCGAGUACUCUUCAGGGGAGAUACUGUUCCUCAAUCGCGCUCUUGAUCCUUCCCCUUUUCUUUCUGUUUGUCAUAUUUUGUGUGUUUUUUAGUUGAGUGAAAUUGAAUUAGCAGACCAUAUUCCCGCAGGGGAUAAAAUUUGGUUUCGAGGUUUUCACACAUUUGGUGAGCAUGGAGUUCAGUCUUCUUUUUAUCAAGCAUAGCUGUUGGAUCUAUUUAUAUAUAACAUCCCCAUUUGCGACAUGAAACUUUGUCGGAGAUGAUUUGACUGCCAGAUAUCCUAACUUAUGGUUCUAAAUAGAUCUUUUUCUCAACCGCUAUACAAGGGGAUUCGUGUUCAUUUUUCUUCUAAUUAAAAUUAUCAAACUGUCUCGUUUGAUUUAUUAUUGCCUUUGAAGGCACGGAUUUUGCAGCAUCUGGGUGGUCUAUUGUGAGAACCGAAUUGGUUUAGGUCCUGAUUGAAUCUGUAUGAAUGUCAUGAGGUUCAUCAACAUUAUUCAGGUUCAAGUUUCCCGCUGAUUAUUUUAAUUAAUAAAAUUGCUCGCAUGAAAUGUAUGGAGUUAUUCAGCCGUUGUGACAGGUGCUUGGUUCAGUUUGGAGGGAUCUCUUCAGCUAAGUGUGUCACGUGAAGAUGGUAUAGGAUUCAGUGAUUAAAGAAUUCAAGUUUGUCAAGUGAGUGAAAGCAGAGGUUACGAUCUAUUGCGAUCAUGUUUGAUGGAGUUG
Molecule: long non-coding RNA, 798 nt
Organism: Syzygium oleosum
Lineage: Eukaryota; Viridiplantae; Streptophyta; Magnoliopsida; Myrtales; Myrtaceae
Exons: 2
Source: RefSeq, a predicted model, not a curated record